This 410-nucleotide ribosomal RNA is filed under the name uncultured bacterium. RNAcentral's name for it is "bacterial SSU rRNA". It matches the Rfam family "Bacterial small subunit ribosomal RNA", at positions 152 to 557 of the family's 1533-position model. The record is from RNAcentral.
CGAAAGUUACGCUAAUACCGCAUACGAUCUACGGAUGAAAGCGGGGGAUCGCAAGACCUCGCGCGAAUGGAGCGGCCGAUGUCAGAUUAGGUAGUUGGUGGGGUAAAGGCUCACCAAGCCAAUGAUCUGUAGCUGGUCUGAGAGGACGACCAGCCACACUGGAACUGAGACACGGUCCAGACUCCUACGGGAGGCAGCAGUGGGGAAUUUUGGACAAUGGGCGCAAGCCUGAUCCAGCCAUUCCGCGUGCAGGAUGAAGGCCUUCGGGUUGUAAACUGCUUUUGUACGGAACGAAACGGUCUGCCCUAAUACGGCGGGCUAAUGACGGUACCGUAAGAAUAAGCACCGGCUAACUACGUGCCAGCAGCCGCGGUAAUACGUAGGGUGCAAGCGUUAAUCGGAAUUACUGG